This 253-nucleotide ribosomal RNA is filed under the name uncultured bacterium. RNAcentral's name for it is "partial 16S ribosomal RNA". It matches the Rfam family "Bacterial small subunit ribosomal RNA", at positions 524 to 776 of the family's 1533-position model. The record is from RNAcentral.
UACAGAGGUGGCAAGCGUUGUUCGGAAUUACUGGGCGUAAAGGGCGCGUAGGCGGCCAUCUAAGUCAGACGUGAAAUCCCCCGGCUUAACCUGGGAACUGCGUCUGAUACUGGAAGGCUUGAGUAUGGGAGAGGGAUGUAGAAUUCCAGGUGUAGCGGUGAAAUGCGUAGAUAUCUGGAGGAAUACCGGUGGCGAAGGCGGCAUCCUGGACCAUUACUGACGCUGAGACGCGAAAGCGUGGGGAGCAAACAGG